Molecule: long non-coding RNA, 1437 nt
Filed under: Apis dorsata (giant honeybee)
Lineage: Eukaryota; Metazoa; Arthropoda; Insecta; Hymenoptera; Apidae
Description: uncharacterized LOC116186331
Source: RNAcentral
AUUUAAACAAAUUACUUUUGAUUGAAUUUAAGCGAAUUUUAAAUAAACGGCCGUGAUCCGAGAAGGGUCGAUAAAGAAGAUUUGGUUAGAGAAUUGGAAGAAGAACGAGGUGAAAAUAUGGGUCUGCGGGUCGUCGAAUACCCAGUGACUUCCAUCGAAGUCUGAAUCACGAGUAACGCUUUGCCAAUUCUCUUCUUCUUCGCGAUCCGCGAAGUAUUUUCCGGUCGUUGACCGUCGCCGACAGUAAACGACCCUCGAGGUCUUCUGGAUGGAGAGCGCAAUGAGGAAAAACUGGGCGAACAAGGGGCGAACAGAUAAAAACUCACUCCGACCGGUGAAAUAAUCAGAGCCUCGGUUUCUCCUUCGAUCUUCUUCGAAAUUUUCGUUCCGCUCGCAGCACACGCAACUAGUCGUAGUAUAGUUCGAUUAAUUUCUUUCACGAAAAUUAAUUCGUCGAAAUAUGGAUAUAAUCGCGAAAUCCAACGAGUUGAGAAACGCUGAUCAUAUAGAUCAAAGUAACGUUGCGUAUUUAUUUCUUUUCUCAAGUUCGACGAACUCGAUAGGUUGAAAAGAAUUCGAUAGCGUGGACAAUCUGAAUCGCGUAUUUGCAACGCUCAAAAUCUAUUGCCUAGUGACACGAUGGUUUGACUCGGUUUCGGCGCAGAAUCCGUUCCGCAAGCGUGCGCGCAUGCUCGUUCCUCCUGCUGACAGGCUUGGAAAAAUAGAGAAAAGAAUCGAAACUUUACCGUUAUGUUCACCCAACUCGCGCCAUAAUUACAGCAUGGAGUUUGCUACUUGCGGGAGAGGAAAGUGUAUGUGUGUAGGAAAACGUGUACACGCUUCAACGGCAAAUCUUUUAAGCUUUUUUUUAGACGUGUAAUUACUCGAAAUCGAGUCACGAUAUCCAUGAGAGAUGUUCGAUCAGUGAUUAUAUAGAUGCCAAUUUGCUCUUGUGACAAUUAUUAUCUUCGUGCGAACACGCAGUGCAUCGUAUUAGGUUAGAUUUCAAGUAGUCAUUUGCCUGUCGAUUUCACUCUUUCGAAUCAGUGACUGAUAAAAUGGAUGAUAAUAAGGGAAGAAUAUACGUUUAAACAUCUCGUGUAGCAUGUAUAUACUUCAGCUCAGGUGUGCAUGAAGAUUCACGGAGGAAUACUUUCAUUCAAGUUUUAUUAACAGAGUCGAUGCAAGAAGUAAUUAAACCGGUCUUGUGUACUUUAUCGCGAAUUAUAUUAGUAAUAGUGAUGGAGUCGCUAUCUUACAGCCAUUAAGAGGUAUGUAGCUAUAUGUAAUUCAUUCUUCGAUCUCUGUUUAAGAAUCACUCGAUAUCUGUUGCUUUAUAGUUCAAUUUAUUUAAUCGAACCGAAUAGCGAAAUUCUAUGUUUCCAAUUUUUGUCAAUUUGACUCUCGUAAAGAGUGGUAAUAUUUUUUCAAGAUCAA